GCAAGUCGAACGGUAACAGGAAGUGCUUGCACUUCGCUGACGAGUGGCGGACGGGUGAGUAAUGCUUGGGAACUUGCCUUUGCGAGGGGGAUAACAGUUGGAAACGACUGCUAAUACCGCAUAAUGUCUUUGGACCAAACGGGGCUUAGGCUCCGGCGCAAAGAGAGGCCCAAGUGAGAUUAGCUAGUUGGUAAGGUAACGGCUUACCAAGGCGACGAUCUCUAGCUGUUCUGAGAGGAAGAUC
Molecule: ribosomal RNA, 244 nt
Filed under: uncultured bacterium
Lineage: Bacteria
Description: partial 16S ribosomal RNA
Rfam family: Bacterial small subunit ribosomal RNA
Source: RNAcentral